AUCCCAGUUCAUCCCAGUUCAAUCCCAGUCCAUCCCAGUUCAAUCCCAGUCAAUCCCAGUUCAAUCCCAGUUCAAUCCCAGUUCAAUCCCAGUUCAUCCCAGUCCAUCCCAGUUCAUCCCAGUUCAAUCCCAGUUCAUCCCAUCAAUCCCAGUUCAAUCCCAGUCCAUCCCAGUUCAAUCCCAGUUCAUCCCAGUCCAUCCCAGUCCAAUCCCAGUUCAAUCCCAGUCCAUCCCAGUUCAAUCCCAGUUCAAUCCCAGUUCAAUCCCAGUUCAUCCCAGUUCAGCCCAGUUCAUCCCAGUCCAUCCCAGUCCCUCCCAGUCCAUCCCAGUCCAUCCCAGUACAAACCAGUACAAACCAGUCCCGACGCCGAAAUUUGUGAAUUUUUAUUUUUUUUAUUUUUUUUUUAUUAUUUUUUAUUUUUCCGAUUCCCAAAAAAAAAAAAAAAAAAAAAAAAAAAAAUUUCCCAAAAAAUCCAAAAAAUUCCCAAAAAUUCCCAAAAAUUCCAACCCCGGGAGGGGGCGGGGCCGAGGAGAGGGGGGGGCGGAGCCGAGGAUGAUGAGGCCACGCCCCCUUUUCCCGCCCAAAAAAACCGGGGGGGAGGAGCCUGGAGAAGGGGAAAAGGGGGCGUGGCUUGAAAAAGGGCGGGAAAAGGAAAAGGGGGCGGAGCCAAAAAAUCUCACCUGGAAAAGAGAAAAGGGGGAGGGGUUAGAGAGGAACUGGCCUGAACUGGUUUAUACUGGUUUAAACUGGUCUGAACUGAUCUGAACUGGUUUAUACUGGUUUAUACUGGUUUAUACUGGUCUGAACUGGUCUGGACUGGUUUAGACUGGUCUAUACUGGUUUAUACUGGUUUAGACUGGUUUGUACUGGUCUGAACUCGUUUAUACUGCUCGGAACUGGUCUGAACUGGUUUAUACUGGUUUAUACUGGUCUUAACUGGUUUAUACUGGUUUAUACUGGUUUAGACUGGUUUAGACUGGUCUGAACUGGUUUAGACUGGUUAUACUGGUUUAUACUGGUUUAUACUGGUCGGAACUGGUCUGAACUGGUUUGUACUGGUUCAUACUGGUCUAUACUGGUUUGUUCUGGUUCGUACUGGUUUGUACUGGUGUGAACUGGUUUAUACUGGAUUAUACCAGUCUGAACUGGUCUGAACUGGUUUAGACUGGUUUAUACUGGUCCGUACUGGUUUGUACUAGUCUGUACUGCUUUGUUCUGGUUUAUACUGGUUUAUACUGGUCUGAACUGGUUUAUACUGGUUUAUACUGGUUUAUACUGGUUUAGACUGGUUUAAACUGGUUUGAACUGGUUUGAACUGGUUUAUACUGGUUUAUACUGGUCCGUACUGGUUUAUACUGGUUUGAACUGGUUUAUACUGGUUUAAACUGGUCUAUACUGGUCUGAACUGGUUUAUACUGGUUUGAACUGGUCUAUACUGGUCUGAACUGGUUUAUACUGGUUUAAACUGGUCUAUACUGGUCUGAACUGGUUUAUACUGGUCCAUACUGGUUUAAACUGGUUUGUACUGGUCUAUACUGGUCUAUACUGGUUUAUACUGGUUCAUACUGGUCCGUACUGGUGUCACUCACAUGGUUUGGGGCGAGAACAGCCCGGACAGGCUCAGACACUGCGACGCCAAAUUGAGGGCGGGGCUCAGGGCUGGGGGAGGGGCGA
Cyanistes caeruleus (blue tit) is the source of this 1675-nucleotide long non-coding RNA. Lineage: Eukaryota; Metazoa; Chordata; Aves; Passeriformes; Paridae. The record is from Ensembl.